AUACGGAGGGAGCGAGCGUUAAUCGGAAUUACUGGGCGUAAAGCGCGCGUAGGCGGCUUUGUAAGUCGGAUGUGAAAGCCCUGGGCUCAACCUGGGAAUUGCAUUCGAUACUGCAGAGCUAGAGUAUAGUAGAGGCAAGUGGAAUUCCGGGUGUAGCGGUGAAAUGCGUAGAUAUCCGGAGGAACAUCAGUGGCGAAGGCGACUUGCUGGACUAAUACUGACGCUCAGGUGCGAAAGCGUGGGUAGCGAACAGGAUUAGAUACCCCAGUAGUCC
RNAcentral lists this ribosomal RNA (274 nucleotides) under uncultured bacterium. RNAcentral describes it as "partial 16S ribosomal RNA". It matches the Rfam family "Bacterial small subunit ribosomal RNA", at positions 523 to 796 of the family's 1533-position model. The record is from RNAcentral.